CCUACGGGGAGCAGCAGUGAGGAAUAUUGGUCAAUGGCCGGAAGGCUGAACCAGCCAUGCCGCGUGAAGGUCAGUGCCCUAUGGGCGUUAAACUUCUUUUGUGCGGGAGCAAUAAUGGUCACGUUGGGCCAGACGAGAGUACCGUACGAAUAAGCAACGGCUAACUCCGUUCCAGCAGCCGAGGUAAUACGGGGGAUGCAAGCGUUAUCCGGAAUUAUUGGGGUUAAAGGGGGCGUAGGCUGUGAUGUAAGUCAGCGGUGAAAUGCCCCCGCUCAAAGGGGUGAAGUGCAAUUGAUACUGCCUUGCUGGAAUGCGGAUGCAGUGGGAGGAAUGUGUGGUGGAGCGGUGAAAUGCAUAGAUAUCACACAGAACACCGAUUGCGAAGGCAUCUCACGAAUCCGCGAUUGACGCUGAUGCACGAAAGCGUGGGUAUCAAACAGGAUUAGAUACCCGGGUAGUC
Molecule: ribosomal RNA, 460 nt
Filed under: uncultured bacterium
Lineage: Bacteria
Description: partial 16S ribosomal RNA
Rfam family: Bacterial small subunit ribosomal RNA
Source: RNAcentral